RNAcentral lists this ribosomal RNA (952 nucleotides) under Salmonella enterica subsp. enterica serovar Newport. RNAcentral describes it as "partial 23S ribosomal RNA". It matches the Rfam family "Bacterial large subunit ribosomal RNA", at positions 200 to 1190 of the family's 2925-position model. The record is from RNAcentral. Lineage: Bacteria; Pseudomonadati; Pseudomonadota; Gammaproteobacteria; Enterobacterales; Enterobacteriaceae.
AUCUAAGUACCCCGAGGAAAAGAAAUCAACCGAGAUUCCCCCAGUAGCGGCGAGCGAACGGGGAGGAGCCCAGAGCCUGAAUCAGCAUGUGUGUUAGUGGAAGCGUCUGGAAAGGCGCGCGAUACAGGGUGACAGCCCCGUACACAAAAGCGCAUGUGUUGUGAGCUCGAUGAGUAGGGCGGGACACGUGGUAUCCUGUCUGAAUAUGGGGGGACCAUCCUCCAAGGCUAAAUACUCCUGACUGACCGAUAGUGAACCAGUACCGUGAGGGAAAGGCGAAAAGAACCCCGGCGAGGGGAGUGAAAAAGAACCUGAAACCGUGUACGUACAAGCAGUGGGAGCACAGGUUUACCUGUGUGACUGCGUACCUUUUGUAUAAUGGGUCAGCGACUUAUAUUCUGUAGCAAGGUUAACCGUAUAGGGGAGCCGAAGGGAAACCGAGUCUUAACCGGGCGUUAAGUUGCAGGGUAUAGACCCGAAACCCGGUGAUCUAGCCAUGGGCAGGUUGAAGGUUGGGUAACACUAACUGGAGGACCGAACCGACUAAUGUUGAAAAAUUAGCGGAUGACCUGUGGCUGGGGGUGAAAGGCCAAUCAAACCGGGAGAUAGCUGGUUCUCCCCGAAAGCUAUUUAGGUAGCGCCUCGUGAAUUCAUCUCCGGGGGUAGAGCACUGUUUCGGCUAGGGGGCCAUCCCGGCUUACCAACCCGAUGCAAACUGCGAAUACCGGAGAAUGUUAUCACGGGAGACACACGGCGGGUGCUAACGUCCGUCGUGAAGAGGGAAACAACCCAGACCGCCAGCUAAGGUCCCAAAGUCAUGGUUAAGUGGGAAACGAUGUGGGAAGGCCCAGACAGCCAGGAUGUUGGCUUAGAAGCAGCCAUCAUUUAAAGAAAGCGUAAUAGCUCACUGGUCGAGUCGGCCUGCGCGGAAGAUGUAACGGGGCUAAACCAU